GCCGGGAUGGUGGAAUUGGUAGACGCACCGGACUCAAAAUCCGGCGGGCUUAGGCCCUUGCGGGUUCGAGUCCCGCUCCCGGCA
RNAcentral lists this transfer RNA (84 nucleotides) under bacterium. RNAcentral describes it as "tRNA-Leu". It matches the Rfam family "tRNA". From Rfam's summary of the family: Transfer RNA (tRNA) molecules are approximately 80 nucleotides in length. RNAcentral also lists the same sequence under 3 other names. The record is from RNAcentral.